UCCUCGUUAGCUCAGUCGGUAAAGAAUCUGCCUGCAGUGCAGGAGACCCAGAUACGAUUCCUGGGUCAGGAA
RNAcentral lists this transfer RNA (72 nucleotides) under Ovis aries (sheep). It matches the Rfam family "tRNA". Rfam says of the family: Transfer RNA (tRNA) molecules are approximately 80 nucleotides in length. Lineage: Eukaryota; Metazoa; Chordata; Mammalia; Artiodactyla; Bovidae. The record is from Rfam by way of RNAcentral.